ACGUAGCGCAGUUGGUAGCGCGUCUGCUUUGGGAGCAGAAUGUCGCAGGUUCAAAUCCUGUCGUU
This 65-nucleotide transfer RNA is filed under the name uncultured Treponema sp. It matches the Rfam family "tRNA", at positions 5 to 66 of the family's 71-position model. Rfam says of the family: Transfer RNA (tRNA) molecules are approximately 80 nucleotides in length. Their secondary structure includes four short double-helical elements and three loops (D, anti-codon, and T loops). Lineage: Bacteria; Pseudomonadati; Spirochaetota; Spirochaetia; Treponematales; Treponemataceae. The record is from RNAcentral.